Molecule: transfer RNA, 79 nt
Filed under: Clostridium sp. AF34-10BH
Lineage: Bacteria; Bacillati; Bacillota; Clostridia; Eubacteriales; Clostridiaceae
Description: tRNA-Gly
Rfam family: tRNA
About the family: Transfer RNA (tRNA) molecules are approximately 80 nucleotides in length. Their secondary structure includes four short double-helical elements and three loops (D, anti-codon, and T loops).
Source: RNAcentral
GCAUGUGUGGUCCAGUGGUUUUGGACACCUGCCUUCCAAGCAGGACAUCACGCGGGUUCAAAUCCCGUCACAUGCUCUA